CUUGAGUAACUAUAAGAGGUCCAGCCUGCCCAGUGACUUUGUUCAACGGCCGCGGUAUCCUAACCGUGCGAAGGUAGCGUAAUCACUUGUCUUUUAAAUGGGGACUUGUAUGAACGGCAUCACGAGGGUUAUACUGUCUCCUUUUUCUAAUCAGUGAAACUAAUCUUCCCGUGAAGAAGCGGGAAUAAACAUAUAAGACGAGAAGACCCUAUGGAGCUUUAAACUCAAUAACAAAUACUGACCUUACAUCAACUUUCAGAAGAUUCACCUUAAUUUUAGUAUUAUGAUUAUUAGUUUUAGGUUGGGGUGACCGCGGAGUAAAAAUUAACCUCCAUAUUGAACGGGACCUAUCCCUGAGCCAAGAACUACAGCUCAAAGCACCAACAAAUUGACAUUAAUUGACCCAAUAUUUUGAUCAACGAAC
RNAcentral lists this ribosomal RNA (424 nucleotides) under Osteocephalus oophagus (oophagous slender-legged treefrog). Its description in RNAcentral is "partial large subunit ribosomal RNA". It matches the Rfam family "Bacterial large subunit ribosomal RNA", at positions 1834 to 2439 of the family's 2925-position model. Lineage: Eukaryota; Metazoa; Chordata; Amphibia; Anura; Hylidae. The record is from RNAcentral.